UACGGGGGGGGUAAGCGUUGUUCGGAAUUACUGGGCGUAAAGGGCUCGUAGGCGGCCAACUAAGUCAGACGUGAAAUCCCUCAGCUUAACUGGGGAACUGCGUCUGAUACUGGAUGGCUUGGAUUCGGGAGAGGAAUGCGGAAUUCCAGGUGUAGCGGUGAAAUGCGUAGAGAUGUGGAGGAACACCGAUGGCGAAGGCAGCCCCCUGGGCUAACACUGACGCUCAUGCACGAAAGCGUGGGGAGCAAACAGG
RNAcentral lists this ribosomal RNA (253 nucleotides) under uncultured bacterium. Its description in RNAcentral is "partial 16S ribosomal RNA". It matches the Rfam family "Bacterial small subunit ribosomal RNA", at positions 524 to 776 of the family's 1533-position model. The record is from RNAcentral.